UAGGGAAUCUUCCGCAAUGGGCGAAAGCUUGACGGAGCAACGCCGCGUGAGUGAUGAAGGUCUUCGGAUCGUAAAACUCUGUUAUUAGGGAAGAACAAAUGUGUAAGUAGCUAUGCACGUCUUGACGGUACCUAAUCAGAAAGCCACGGCUAACUACGUGCCAGCAGCCGCGGUAAUACGUAGGUGGCAAGCGUUAUCCGGAAUUAUUGGGCGUAAAGCGCGCGUAGGCGGUUUUUUAAGUCUGAUGUGAAAGCCCACGGCUCAACCGUGGGGGGUCAUUGGAAACUGGAAAACUUGAGUGCAGAAGAGGAAAGUGGAAUUCCAUGUGUAGCGGUGAAAUGCGCAGAGAUAUGGAGGAACACCAGUGGCGAAGGCGACUUUCUGGUCUGUAACUGACGCUGAUGUGCGAAAGCGUGGGGAUCAAACAGG
Molecule: ribosomal RNA, 429 nt
Filed under: Actinomycetes bacterium
Lineage: Bacteria; Bacillati; Actinomycetota; Actinomycetes
Description: Actinobacteria bacterium partial 16S ribosomal RNA
Rfam family: Bacterial small subunit ribosomal RNA
Source: RNAcentral